GACGAACGCUGGCGGCGUGCUUAACACAUGCAAGUCGAACGAUGAACCAGGGCUUGCCCUGGGGAUUAGUGGCGAACGGUGAGUAACACGUGGGCAACCUGCCCCAGACACCGGGAUAACCUCUCGAAAGAGUGGCUAAUACCGGAUAUGACCACUUCGGGCAUCCGACGGUGGUGGAAAGGAUUCUGGUCUGGGAUGGGCCCGCGGCCUAUCAGCUAGUUGGCGGGGUAAUGGCCUACCAAGGCGACGACGGGUAGCCGGCCUGAGAGGGCGACCGGCCACACUGGACUGAGACACGGCCCAGACUCCUACGGGAGGCAGCAGUGGGGAAUAUUGCGCAAUGGGCGAAAGCCUGACGCAGCGACGCCGCGUGAGGGACGAAGGGUCUGCGGAUUGUAAACCUCUUUCAGCAGGGACGAAGCGAAAGUGACUGUACCUGCAGAAGAAGCACCGGCUAACUACGUGCCAGCAGCCGCGGUAAU
RNAcentral lists this ribosomal RNA (482 nucleotides) under uncultured bacterium. Its description in RNAcentral is "bacterial SSU rRNA". It matches the Rfam family "Bacterial small subunit ribosomal RNA", at positions 28 to 524 of the family's 1533-position model. The record is from RNAcentral.